UACGUAGGGCGCAAGCGUUAUCCGGAAUUAUUGGGCGUAAAGAGCUCGUAGGCGGUUUGUCGCGUCUGCUGUGAAAGACCGGGGCUCAACCCGGGAAGUGCACUCGAUACUGCCAGGCUAGAGUAUCGGAGAGGUUGGUGGAAUUCUCGGUGUAGAGGUGAAAUUCGUAGAUAUCGAGAGGAACACCGGUGGCGAAGGCGGCCAACUGGACGAAAUACUGACGCUGAGACUCGAAAGCGUGGGGAGCAAACAGG
RNAcentral lists this ribosomal RNA (254 nucleotides) under uncultured bacterium. RNAcentral describes it as "partial 16S ribosomal RNA". It matches the Rfam family "Bacterial small subunit ribosomal RNA", at positions 524 to 776 of the family's 1533-position model. The record is from RNAcentral.